Molecule: non-coding RNA, 111 nt
Organism: Schizophyllum commune H4-8
Lineage: Eukaryota; Fungi; Basidiomycota; Agaricomycetes; Agaricales; Schizophyllaceae
Source: Rfam
GGCAAGAUGUCCGAGUGGUCUAAGGAGUUGGAUUCAAGCGAAAGCUUACCCGCUAUUGCUGGGUUUCCCAAUAGGCGUUCGCCUGCGGGGGUUCGAAUCCCCCUCUUGUCA